RNAcentral lists this ribosomal RNA (495 nucleotides) under uncultured bacterium. RNAcentral's name for it is "partial 16S ribosomal RNA". It matches the Rfam family "Bacterial small subunit ribosomal RNA", at positions 28 to 507 of the family's 1533-position model. The record is from RNAcentral.
GACGAACGCUGGCGGCGUGCCUAAUACAUGCAAGUAGAACGCUGAAGGAGGAGCUUGCUCUUCUGGAUGAGUUGCGAACGGGUGAGUAACGCGUAGGUAACCUGCCUGGUAGCGGGGGAUAACUAUUGGAAACGAUAGCUAAUACCGCAUAACAGUAGAUGUUGCAUGACAUUUGCUUAAAAGGUGCAAUUGCACCACUACCAGAUGGACCUGCGUUGUAUUAGCUAGUUGGUGGGGUAACGGCUCACCAAGGCGACGAUACAUAGCCGACCUGAGAGGGGGAUCGGCCACACUGGGACUGAGACACGGCCCAGACUCCUACGGGAGGCAGCAGUAGGGAAUCUUCGGCAAUGGACGGAAGUCUGACCGAGCAACGCCGCGUGAGUGAAGAAGGUUUUCGGAUCGUAAAGCUCUGUUGUAAGAGAAGAACGAGUGUGAGAGUGGAAAGUUCACACUGUGACGGUAUCUUACCAGAAAGGGACGGCUAACUACGUG